RNAcentral lists this ribosomal RNA (253 nucleotides) under uncultured bacterium. Its description in RNAcentral is "partial 16S ribosomal RNA". It matches the Rfam family "Bacterial small subunit ribosomal RNA", at positions 524 to 776 of the family's 1533-position model. The record is from RNAcentral.
UACAGAGGUCCCAAGCGUUGUUCGGAUUCAUUGGGCGUAAAGGGUGCGUAGGCGGCGCGGUAAGUCGGGUGUGAAAUCUCGGGGCUUAACUCCGAAACUGCAUUCGAUACUGCCGUGCUUGAGGACUGGAGAGGAGACUGGAAUUUACGGUGUAGCGGUGAAAUGCGUAGAUAUCGUAAGGAAGACCAGUGGCGAAGGCGGGUCUCUGGACAGUUCCUGACGCUGAGGCACGAAAGCUAGGGGAGCGAACGGG